CUCCUGGAAACGGGUGGUAAUGCCGGAUGCUCCGACAUGACGCAUGUCGUGUUGGGAAAGAUUCAUCGGUAUGGGAUGGGGUCGCGUCCUAUCAGCUUGUUGGUGGGGUGAUGGCCCACCAUGGCUUCGACGGGUAGCCGGCCUGAGAGGGCGACCGGCCACAUUGGGACUGAGAUACGGCCCAGACUCCUACGGGAGGCAGCAGUGGGGAAUAUUGCACAAUGGGCGCAAGCCUGAUGCAGCGACGCCGCGUGCGGGAUGACGGCCUUCGGGUUGUAAACCGCUUUUGACUGGGAGCAAGCCCUUCGGGGUGAGUGUACCUUUCGAAUAAGCACCGGCUAACUACGUGCCAGCAGCCGCGGUAAUACGUAGGGUGCAAGCGUUAUCCGGAAUUAUUGGGCGUAAAGGGCUCGUAGGCGGUUCGUCGCGUCCGGUGUGAAAGUCCAUCGCUUAACGGUGGAUCCGCGCCGGGUACGGGCGGGCUUGAGUGCGGUAGGGGAGACUGGAAUUCCCGGUGUAACGGUGGAAUGUGUAGAUAUCGGGAAGAACACC
Molecule: ribosomal RNA, 552 nt
Filed under: uncultured bacterium
Lineage: Bacteria
Description: bacterial SSU rRNA
Rfam family: Bacterial small subunit ribosomal RNA
Source: RNAcentral